AGAUGAUGUUUUAAUAUUGUGUAAAUAUGUAAUUUGUUAUUUUAAUAUUUCGCAGGUAUUUGUCAGAUAUUGUUGUCUGUCAAAUAGUAUUUAUUCUAUUAGUUUUCUCAGUCAGGUACCCUUUAUCUGAUUGGCUAAUAGCACUGCAUGCUUUUCACGUGCACACACUACAUGAACAGCAGACAUGUUUGACGGGUUUUGACAGGCGACAGAUCAGAAUACAUUAUAGGUUUUCACACUCUUGUUGACCACCGGCAUUGUUUACGCUCGUGUACCACAUACAGGGUAUGACAUAGUUAGUUAGUAAUCAAGCAGUUAUUUCAAUUAAUUAUUAAUCUUAAACUUCAUUAUAACAUAAUUGUAAUAUUUAAUAUAGUAAAGUAUUUUUUUUAUUCUGACAACAUUCCACAGUAAUUUAUUUUAAGUCAAUUAGGUUAAUGUAUUCACUAAAUCUCAACCAUUUGUUAUUCUUGUAAUUACCUCCCCUUGGAGUUGAUUAUCCCGAUAUCUAUCAUAUACAUGUAGGUGUGGAUCAAAAGGUUAUUCAGGUUUAGUUCAAUCAAACAGAUUGUUUGAUUAGGAAGAUAUUAUAGUUUAGUAGAUGUUACUUAUAACCGUGACAUUAAUGGGAUACGAAUUGAAAUGUUAAUAUAUAUUUUUUUAAUAUUGAUGACCUGUGAUGGACAUAUUUUUAUGAUGUUGUGAUUGACAUGUAUGAUCGAACUAUUUUUAUGACGAUGAUUUUUAUGACGCAUACAUGUAAUUAUUUAUAAUGAACGCCUGUUAUAUAUUGUAUAUUUUAUUCUUCCAGGGCGUUGUUUGCAAUGACAUAAUGAACUUUAUGAAGUAAAUCAUUUCCAAACGU
RNAcentral lists this long non-coding RNA (865 nucleotides) under Gigantopelta aegis. Its description in RNAcentral is "uncharacterized LOC121373630". Lineage: Eukaryota; Metazoa; Mollusca; Gastropoda; Neomphalida; Peltospiridae. The record is from RNAcentral.